Malus domestica (apple) is the source of this 1842-nucleotide non-coding RNA. The record is from RefSeq and is a predicted model, not a curated record. NCBI's taxonomy places the organism in Eukaryota, Viridiplantae, Streptophyta, Magnoliopsida, Rosales, Rosaceae.
CGCAUCCAUCAUCGAUGGCCUUUCAGUUCGACUUCUUCUCGAUUUCGCUUCUCUCUCGCCAUUCUCACCUUUUGGGUAUUUUGGAACCUAGGUUUUUUUUCUCUCCCGCAUCGCUAUUUUACUUGUUGUUUAGUGUUGCCAUCAUUCUCCAGAUCGGCAGGCCGAUAGAACCCGGCGAGGUCAGCAUGUGCUUCUAUGGAAUUACCGCCCGUGAUCUCAGCCAUGCUCGCGCCGCCGUCAAUUUCGUUGUUCUGUUCAGGAAACUCUGGUGUUCUUAUUUAGGGGUUUUGCUGAAGGAUUUUGCAGGAGGACUCUCUUUGGAAUGGCCAAAUGUUGUUGUUUGUCGGGUGGAUGCCUUGGAAGCAGAGUUAAUUGCUACUAAAAAGGCAAAAAUUACAGAGGAGCUUAUUUGUUGGAGAUUUAAAGAGUAAAACUUAGCAGCGCGGUACCGCUGGAAAUGGUAAUUGUUAAUCAGAUUUCCACUCUUUUUUCCACAUACUUUGGUUCAAAAGCAAUAUCAUUUGAAUGAUGAAACAUUAAGUUAGCAUCUCAAGCGAACGAUAUUUGCCACUUCCCUUUUAAAUGAAUUUUAAGAUCAGCUUCAGUCUAUGUUUGUUUAAUUAACAAUGUUGUAUCAUUCCUUAUAUAGUUUCACAAAGAUCGGGCAUAAUUCUUGCUGAACUUGGUUUGGUUUUCUUUUGUUUAGGGAUAGAUUGAGUGAAUCACAGUUCGACCAAGUCUUGAAUGAUGAAUUGAGCCAGAUCAUUGAGGUCUCUUUGUCAAGUUAAAUUUUCAUUAUACUUUUUAUUUGUAAUGCUCAGUUCUUCUCUCAAACAUUGCUUAUGAAGUGAAUGAAUUUGCAUAAGUUUGAAUAAAUUUCUAAUCCCGCAGCAACGAGUUAUAUAUACUAAAACUUAGUUGAGUUUUAGCACUGUUCAGAAAUAGUAAAAGGGCGGAAAUGCCCUUGAUUUGUUUGGGGUUUAGGUGCUGCUGAAUUACUUUGUACAGUUAAAUGUCAUUUUUGCCCCCCACUAGGUGGGCUGUCUUCAGCUGCCUGAAAAGUCCUAGGCCUUUUUUAUCUCGCCUGUUGAGGGAUUUGGUUUAUUUUCUCGCCGUUCUCAUCAAUUUUCUACCUACCUCAAACUGCUCUCUCAUCUUUUCAUCUCUCUCCCAAAUUAUCUGUGCGAAAUCAGUGAGCCUAUUUUUGGUUGCUGGAAAAAAGUUUGGUUGCUACAAAUUUCUUGCGUUCAAAAUUCCUCAUUCGCUACGAAUUUUGUUCCUUUUUUGGAUUUAUCAGAAUCAAUUUUUUUGUGUCAGAGGUAUACAGUCCUGGAAGGAAAAGAAAGUCAAGUAUACGAAUGAGUUAGAAAGUAAGGUGUGACUAUUUUGAAGCACCUGUGAUGCUGCUGUUAUAUUUUGGGUACGUUUUCUGUCCUGCUUUUUUCCAGUUUGGAGAUGCACUGAUAAUUGUUGGAUUAAAAUGGAUUUGUAUUUUUUGGGAAGAAAUGAGAGGAGUUGUUGGAAUUUUAGAAAGCUUGUGUUUCUACCUUUUAUGUGACAGAGGGAAUACAGACAGGGAGAGGAAGAGAGAAAACAUUAGUUUAGAUUGCAAUUUUAAAAGUUUUUAUGUUGUUAGUGUUGGAACCAAUGUAUUUUGUUGGGAAAUUGAUAAUAUUUAAAGUUAUUAGGAUUUUGGAAAGAUUUGUCUUUCUCAGUUUUAUCUGCCUGAGGGAACACAACUCUUACAUAUAUGAUUUCAAGUUGUCCCUUUAGAAAUUCAAGCUCUAUUGAAUACAUGAGGUGUAAGAAACUGUUUGGGAUAUUUUCAAGUUUUUCUGAUUC